GGACUACGGGGGUAUCUAAUCCCGUUUGCGCCCCAGGGCUUCGUCCCUCACCGUCGGAUCCGUUCUAGUCAGACGCCUUCGCCACCGGUGGUCCUUCCAGGAUUACAGGAUUUUACCCCUACCCCAGAAGUACCUCUGACCUCUCCCGGUCCCAAGUCUCCCAGUCUCCCCGGAAUUCGGACAGUUAAGCUGUCCGAUUUACCCAAGGAUUUAGAAGACCGGCUACGGACGUUUUAGGCUCAAUAAUAUCGACCACCACUAGGGGCGCGGGUAUUACCGCGGCGGCUGGCACCCGUCUUACCCGCCCCUUACUCCUCCUGUUUUUUAGACAGGAGAACAGCCAACACAAAGUGCUGGCACUUGGAAUUCCCUCGUCGGGGUUGCCCCCAUUGCGAAGUUUUCGCGCCUGCUGCACCCCAUAGG
This 423-nucleotide ribosomal RNA is filed under the name uncultured Thermogymnomonas sp. RNAcentral's name for it is "partial 16S ribosomal RNA". Lineage: Archaea; Methanobacteriati; Thermoplasmatota; Thermoplasmata; Thermoplasmatales. The record is from RNAcentral.